GAAAAAUAUCACACCCUCAAGCACUUCUAGGAGCAUUGAACUGCACAAAGUCAGAAAGUUUUAGAGGGUCCCUGUGGUGAGACAUACCCAGCAAGUCAUGAUGCAAACCAGGCCAUGAAUAUAAAAGCUGAGGAAGUCUCAGAUGCAGAAGAGGUAGCGGAUCCUUUGCAAACUACAGUUCAGGAGAUAAAGGCUGAACCUGAGAGAAACAGCCGCUUGGUGUACCUGAUGCAGCAGAGGGACUGACAUGCAGAAGGCAAUGCAGAGCCAUGUGGAAAGGAUGGAUGAGGAGACCUCGGGGAAUAAGAAAUGUGACCGAGAAAGCAGAUGAGCAGGACGACAGUGAGACUGUUAACAUGACCAAGAAGCCUGUACCUUAACUGAAGGAGAAGAAAAACUUCGGAGUUUAAAAUUGGUAGCGUAUAUAACUCAGAAAUGGUAGGUUUUUGGACUUUGUUCAUUGUCCAGUGUUCAAAAAAAACUAGAACAUACCAUUUCAGAGACUGGAUCUUUUUCUGGCCUCUGGUGAAGGGGGAGGGAGGAGACCUAUUCUGCUGUGUCCAUUAGAAAGAGUUCUUUCUAGCCAGAUGAUGGACAGAGUCCAAAAGUCGAGCGAUUCCAGAAACCUUUAGAAUCUUCAGUUGUGUGUGUGUUCUUGCGAGCGUGUGUUAUUUAGGGUUUAUUUUACAAUCAUCUUAGUAUUUUGGCUACGUAGCAUCAGUUGGAAUAAUGCUUGAUAAAUGGUGAACUAAAGAAUAACAUGGAAAGGGUCAGUCAGUAUAGCCAGUGUCCCUCCCGAUAAUCGAAUGGAGCACCUCCUGGAUAAAUUGUUUCACAUCUGUUAUGUUCGUUGUUGAAAUGGAUGAGGAAGCCUGGAUGUCAUCAUGCUCUGUGUUUGUAGUUUUGAAUAUAUGGUCUUAAUGGAAUAUCGAGAUAAUGUCAGCACAGUACAGUAGACCUAAGCCUGCGUGUUCAGUAGAGGGCUCUAAAAUAUGCCAGUCAGACUUGCCGGGUUGCCACAUUUACAUAAAUUAGCUCACAUAUGCUUUUGGCUCGGAUAUUAUAAACUGUGUGGCAACAGAAGGCUGCGCAAGUUGUGUCCAUUUCACAGUCAUUGUGUUUCAACUGUUUGCAUGCUGAGUCUUCAUAGCUAACCUGCCCAAGACAGGCUACAGAAGCACAGUUCUUCCUCCUCGACAUUGUGGGGUCAAAUAGCAUGCACCCUUCAAGUAAGUUAAGGGUAACGGUAAAGUUGUCCAAGCACUAUGCCAUGAAGACAUGGGGGAUUGGAGGGGAUUGGAUGUAUAGCCCCACCAUUCUUCACUUCGUCACUAGAUGGAGAUGAGUGGUGAGCUUCAUGCCCCAAUCCCCUUUACCCUGUUGGAAGAGCCCAAGGUACCAAUUGGAUAGGAGGCGCCAUUGGGACACAACUAAGAUUUUGUUCAUUCAAAGACCAUUAAUCUGUUUGGAAAUACGCUCUGUUCAAUGAGAGGAAGUGUCAGUGUGUCUGAGUAGGUGCCACAACUGUCUCUGAAAUUUUCCACAAUUUUACCCUCACACAUCAUCCAGGUAAGGGCACUUGUACUUCGUGGACACUGUGCACAUUUUCAGUUUACUAUAUUGAACGGAAUUUGUGCAGGUUAUACAUAGAAUUUUACCACUACAAAAUGGCUGGUAUGUCACAUGAAUGAUUCUACGUAAACAUUAGAUGUAGAUUUUGUUACUAAUCAUCUUCCUGCUACGCCAGAUUUUGUUACUAAUAUCUUCCUGCUACGCCCUGAGGUGUAUAAUGUGGUCCAGGGGUGCAUCAAUGGACUGUCUAGUGUCCUUAUAUGCCCUCUACAAUUAUAUACUUUCCAUAACUUUUGUGACUGAGAACUACCAGAUAGAAUUUAUUAUGUAAAUUCUUCAA
Long non-coding RNA from Cryptotermes secundus, 1912 nucleotides. RefSeq lists it as uncharacterized. Lineage: Eukaryota; Metazoa; Arthropoda; Insecta; Blattodea; Kalotermitidae. The record is from RefSeq and is a predicted model, not a curated record. The transcript is spliced from 3 exons.